GCUCAACGUUGCAGGAGGCUGGUGGGGCCACAAGCUAUCAUCUCCCCUAAGCUCCCACAUGGACGCAUUUGUAAUCUCAUCCAUUCCUGUGGCUUUAAAUAACAUCUAUAUGCUGACGAAUCCAAAAUUGAUCUCAGCCCCAAGCUCUGCUCUCAGCUAUAGACUCGUAUAUCCUACAGCCUUCUCAGCUCUCCUACUCACCUCGAAGGCACCUCCAAGGACACGGACCACAUCUGUUUUGUUAAUCACUGGAUUCCCAGCAUUGGAAACGUUGUCUAGCACACAAUGCUGCUGGCAGAAGAACAGAGUGGGAGCAGUGUGUUCAGCUACAUUAGUCAGGGAUAGAGUUUUAAUAGGCUGCAGAAGGAAAUGAUGACAGCAAAGUCAGGAGCAGUGAGUAACUCAAUUUGAGAGAGCCCAGCUCCC
Molecule: long non-coding RNA, 426 nt
Filed under: Mustela putorius furo (domestic ferret)
Lineage: Eukaryota; Metazoa; Chordata; Mammalia; Carnivora; Mustelidae
Description: lncRNA (ENSMPUG00000030733.1)
Source: RNAcentral